UAAGGAGCUUGCUCCUUUGAGUUAGCGGCGGACGGGUGNNNAACACGUGGGUAACCUACCUAUAAGACUGGAAUAACUUCGGGAAACCGGAGCUAAUGCCGGAUAACAUAUAGAACCGCAUGGUUCUAUAGUGAAAGAUGGUUUUGCUAUCACUUAUAGAUGGACCCGCGCCGUAUUAGCUAGUUGGUAAGGUAAUGGCUUACCAAGGCGACGAUACGUAGCCGACCUGAGAGGGUGAUCGGCCACACUGGAACUGAGACACGGUCCAGACUCCUACGGGAGGCAGCAGUAGGGAAUCUUCCGCAAUGGGCGAAAGCCUGACGGAGCAACGCCGCGUGAGUGAUGAAGGUUUUCGGAUCGUAAAACUCUGUUAUUAGGGAAGAACAAAUGCGUAAGUAACUGUGCGCAUCUUGACGGUACCUAAUCAGAAAGCCACGGCUAACUACGUGCCAGCAGCCGCGGUAAUACGUAGGUGGCAAGCGUUAUCCGGAAUUAUUGNGCGUAAAGCGCGCGUANGCGGUUUCUUAAGUCUGAUGUGAAAGCCCACGGCUCAACCGUGGAGGGUCAUUGGAAACUGGGAAACUUGAGUGCAGAAGANGAAAGUNNNUUCCAUGUGUAGCGGUGAAAUG
This 629-nucleotide ribosomal RNA is filed under the name Staphylococcus succinus. RNAcentral's name for it is "bacterial SSU rRNA". It matches the Rfam family "Bacterial small subunit ribosomal RNA", at positions 72 to 688 of the family's 1533-position model. Lineage: Bacteria; Bacillati; Bacillota; Bacilli; Caryophanales; Staphylococcaceae. The record is from RNAcentral.